UGGGGAAUAUUGGGCAAUGGGGGCAACCCUGACCCAGCGACGCCGCGUGGGGGAAGACGGCCUUCGGGUUGUAAACCUCUUUUGUACGGGAAGAAGGAAGUGACGGUACUGUACGAAUAAGUUCCGGCUAACUACGUGCCAGCAGCCGCGGUAAUACGUAGGGGACGAGCGUUGUCCGGAAUUACUGGGCGUAAAGGGCGCGCAGGCUGUGCUGCAAGUCAGCUGUUAAAUGUCUGGGCUUAACCCGGGCAUGCGGUUGAGACUG
This 265-nucleotide ribosomal RNA is filed under the name uncultured bacterium. Its description in RNAcentral is "partial 16S ribosomal RNA". It matches the Rfam family "Bacterial small subunit ribosomal RNA", at positions 355 to 635 of the family's 1533-position model. The record is from RNAcentral.